UUCUUUUUUGUAGGUUGAAAACUACAGGCACAAGCCAUGGAAGCUGGAAUACUCUAAUGCUGGUAUUUUAACUGAUUUAUCCCAACUCUGCAGUUUACAACAUACACAUGCCUCUAAUGAGGUCAGAUAUUCUUUCACUUGUAGCAACCAUGCAUCCAGUGCAGGACAGCGCUGGCAGUGAGGGCAGCACAGCAGGUGUUCGAUUUCUCAUCUUGUCAUUUAGUUCUUACAACUUUGUGAAGGUGACGCUGUGCUCUCAUCUUACAGAUGAAGCAACCACAGGUUAGGUACUGACUCAAGCUCCUGUCACAUGUGUAGCCCUGAACACGGAUCCUCAUGUAACUUUCUGGCUAUGUGACCUCUUGGAAAGUUACUUCCCUCUCUUGGCAUUUCAUGUUGUAGUGUCACCGUAGAAAUGCUGAAACAGAUGAGGCCAGUUUGGUCAGGGGAGAGCACAGAGGUAUUAAGAAUAUAAGCUCUUCAUAGUAUUUAGUUACAUUGAACCUACAGAAGUUGCAAUUUGGCACAAAGGGAGCAUCUGUCAGCAUGUUAGGUGGUUUUGAUGAAUGAGCAGAACGGCUAUGAAGGGGGAAUUUAAAGGGCAGGACGGUGCUAGAUUGUUAGAACGUGAAAGUAUUGGACUGGAGUGAUGGGGGAAGGUUUUGUAUGGGGAGAAAUGUAACUGUAGCAAGAUGAACAGAGCCUAGUAUCAGCUAGUUCUUCCUUCUGACCUGCCCUGAUUGUCUGUAAAUACCUCGUUUUCCAGUAAUUUUAAAUAAAGAUAAUUAAUAUUCACCUUGGAGUAUUUUUUUUUUUUUUUUUUGAGGGGCAGAUGGGGAGAGAUUCUCAAGCACUUUCCAUGCUUAGCUCGGAUCUCCACGCGGGGCUUGAUCCCACAGCCCUGGGCCGAAAUCAAGAGUUGGAUGCUGAACCCACUGAGCCACCCCGGCAUCCCCACCUUGGAAUCCCUCUUAAUGCUUAUUUCAUAACACUGUUGAAGCCUUUGUAUCUAAAUUGCAUUUUUUAAUAUUACCUAUUACAUUGUAAAACCCAGCCUUGUGAUUUUUAGGUAAUUUACACAACAAAUGUGUUAGAAGGCCAAAAUUGCUAGAGGGGAAAAAGUGGGAGGAGGGAUAGGAAGUACAUGUAUUUGCACUGACUGGAGGACAUUUAUAAGUUCAGACAGGGCUGGCCAGGGAGUGCUGAUGAUAAAAAACCUGAAGGAGAUGAUGUGGGUGUGUGUGUGUAGUUGGGUGAAAAAUGUAAGCAGUCUUAAGCCAGGCAGUGAAACAGUGCGGAAAAAUAGGGAACUCAUUUUUUUUAAGGUGCCACAGAGACCAGGAUUUAGAACUAUAGACACUGUCCGGUGUGAUAGCCAUUAGUCACAUGGGGCUAUUUAAAUUUAAAUCAAAACAAUAAAAUGAAAAAUGUGGCUCCUCAGUUGUGUCAGCCACAUUUCAAAUGCUCAGUAGUCACAAGUGGCUAGAAGCUACUGUACAACAGAUACAGAAUAUACCCAUCACUACAGAAAGUUUCAUUGGCAGUACUGUUCUAGAGGUUAUAGGGUGUUUUACAGAAGAGAAAAAUCUAUGGGAUAGUGGACUGAAGAAUGACUCCCAAAGAUAAUCGAGUCCUAAUCUCAAACCUGUAAAUGUUACUGUAUUUGGAAAAGGUGAUUUGCAGAUGUGAUUAGAUUAGGAAUCUGGAGAUGGGAAGAUUAUCCUAGAUCAUCUGUGAGCCCUAAAUCUAAUCACAAAUGGCCUUUGUAAGAGGGAGGCAGAAGAUUCCAUGCUCAGAAGGAGGAGGCUGUGUGAAGACAAGUAGAAAGAGAUAAGGGACGCCUGGGUGGCUCAGUUGGUUAAGCAACUGACUGGCUCAGGUCAUGAUCUCACGGUUUGUGGGUUUAAGCCCCACCUCGGCUCUGUGCUGACAGCUCAGAGCCUGGAGCCUGCUUCGGAUUCUGUGUCUCCCUCUCUCUGCCCCUUCCCUGCUCACUCUCUCUCAAAAAAUAAAUAUUUAAAAAAAAUUUUUUUAAAAAGAUCUGAUUUUGGCCUUGAAGAUGAUGUAGAUACAACUUCAGGCUAGGUAAGGCUGGCAGCCGCCAGAAACUGGGAGACUCAAGGAACUGACCCCCUCCUCCCCAGAGCAUAUACUUGAUUUCUGGGGCUCAAAAACUGACAGAAUAAACUUCUGUUGUUCUAAGCCACUGAGCUUGUAAUUGCUUGCAGUAGCUAGCCUCUGGUAACUAAUACUUUAGACUGAAAGCUUCAGAUCACAAGUGUAGCUGGAGCUGGAACCUCACCACAUUGCCUCCUAUGCUGUGUUUUUAUUAUGGGUUAUGGGUCUGCGGGUCAGGGGGGUUAGAUCUUAUCUAUCCAUUAGUCGAUUUUUUAAAAAUUUGAGGUAUGGCAAUGAAGUUAAACUUUAUUUAGAUUAAAACCAUUAGAGACAUGAGCAGGUGGCUAAAGUAUGGAGGAUUAGCAAAUGCCUCAUAAAACAACACCGAUGAUCAACACUAAUAUAAAAAAAUCAAUUUAUGGUUUAUUGGGACGUCAGUUACUUAUGUACAUUUUCAGUAAAUUUCAUUUACACAGUACAAAGCACCUCCAAAGAUCAAGCUGUAACAAAGUCAGUAAUAAAAAAUUAAGACAAUAUGAAAAAGAUCAUUCUAAUUUUUGCCUUGUGGGCCACACAGCUUUGACCAGCAGGGUCCCAGAGGUAAUAUAGACCAUUAAAAUGAGACCAUUUUUCCAUAACAACCUCAAGUAGUUUUGGCUCAUGUUCCACAAAAUGUAAAUUUGGAUUUCUGGGAGUCUUUUAAAACAGCAACAAAAAACCCUUAAUAGUAUAACUAAUAAAACUAGUCUUUUCAGAGUCACUGCCAUGGGGCUCUGACUUAAGUCCUAUAUGUUGCCAUUUGGUACAUCUAAGUUGCUACAAUACCAAUACUGAAUGAUGACCGUGUCCUACUGGAGACUAGAAAGGAAACUGGGGCAAAAACAAGUUUCUCAAUGAGAAAUUCAUCCUGUUGUACUCAAAAUCUCUUCUUAUGGGAAGGAACAACAUGUGAUUCAAGUAGCUCUUUAAAAUGCUAAUGUUAAUGGACAAAAAUAACUGAAAUUGUUUUCUAGGUUUAUCAAAAUUUCUUUUAUGUGAAAUCAUUUUUCACCUAUUAUUUUGUAUCUCAUUCUGACAUGAAUUACCAAUGCUUUUCUAUUAAUGUGUCAGCAAAGCUACCAUUUGACUUGACCAUAAAUGUACUUAAAGCUAUUUGUAGCCAACUGAAUAUCCAAGAUCGUACCUUCCCUGUGAUGAAUGCUUAUUAGAGCUGAAGCUUAGGAUAUGACCCCACACUCAGUAGCACACGUAGACAAUGUGAAGGUCAGAAUGCAGUUCCUUGUUGUUGAUGAAGAGAUUGUGUAUGUUGUUAUUCACACGUUGCUAAUUGCAGUCAUGCCUUUCAAAACUCGAAGCAUGGAAUCUCGUUCUCCUGGUGAAAGAAGUUAGGAACAAAAUUGAACUCUAUUUGUCUCCCCUUCAUGCCAAAUUCCAGACCCAAACAGUUUAUAUAUAAGAAUCCAUUUGAAACUAAAAUUUAGAUUACAUAAAGAAUAGAAAGUUUUGUGGGCUUUUGACCAAAAUCAGGUCCUGAUUUGGGGGUGGGGGGAGUGGAAGGGAAGAGUAUAUUUUUACUAAAACUGCCCACUAUUCCUACAGCCUCUUCUGUUUCAUUCUUGCUGACAGAUUUGAAUUCCAGUUUCCAACAUCUGACCUCAAUCUCCCACCACAAAAAUUCCAUUAUUACAAGUCUGAAUAUUUCUGCCUAAAGAUGGCCAUUCUUUUCUUAUCGUUGUUGAAAUAGUACCACAAAGGGGCACCUGGGAGGCUCAGGUGGUUGAGCAUCCGACUUCAACUAAGAUUAUGAUCUCAUGGUUCGUGAAUUCAAGUCCCGCAUCGGGCUCACUGCUGUCAGUGCAGAGCCCGCUUUGCAUCCUCUGUCCCCCCAUUGUCUCUUUGUCCCGCUCACACUCUCUCCCUCAAAAAUAAAUAAACAUUAAAAAAAUAACAUGAAGUAUUUCCAUACAGAGUAACACUGAUGUCCAGCUCCUUGUUGAAAGUUUAACUGCCCAGACUGUAGGUAACCUACUGAUUAUUCAAAUGAGCUCACCCUGAAAAGACAAGGUAGAAAUUUAGGUACUGCGGUAACAGAGGGCCAGGUUCCCAAUAAACCUCUAGGCUCCACGCUCUCUCCUUUGUCACACUCAACUCCACAGGUUUGACUCUGCUCAAAUCAUGUACCUACAAAGCCAACGGAACACGUUUGAAAAAGCUCAGCUCACUUGAGAUUCAGAUACAAGUUACUCCAAGACCAGUGAAACUAAACUGUAUGUAGGAUUGUGCCCUGAAUAUAUACCCAAGUGUCAGGUUCAUGUGCAGCUCUGUUAUCGUUUGGCCUCAGCAGGGUCCUGAACCACAACAGAAUGAGAUAUAAUCCUCCUAGAAACUUUCCUCAUGUGCAAGUUUUCUUUCAGCAUGAGUUUGUUUCUUAGUCUACAUUUCACUUUUCAGCUAUCUGAGCCAACCCGAUUUCUGACCUUCUCAAUGUUUUCCUGUGUUCUGUGGAUAACUGGACAGCCACUUUUCACAUCACCAUGGAUAUCAUCUCUGCCUUCUUUAAACCUUUUGUGCCAGUCAAAAACUCUUGCUCUCGACAUUACUUCUUCACCAUAAACUACUUUUAACAUCUCAAGUGUCUCACUUGCAGAUUUAUUUAACUUUACACACAACUUAACAUGAAUUCGUUGCUCUAAAUAACGGUCACUCAUUUUGAUGGUGGAAAAAAGAAUAAUUCUAUUCACAUGUACUCACAAGGUUAGUGGGCAACCUGGAAAGCACUGCUGUGCCAGCUAAACACGUACCUGGGCAAUAGUCACUCCUCCUGUGAUUUCACAAGCCACACAUGGAAAAACAGUCCAAACAGAAGAGUGCAAACAAGCUUUGGAGGAGUUGAUGAAGGUUUCGGCAUCGUAUACAUACCAUCUCAGCUUGAACACCUUGUAUUUUCCCAUAUACAAAAGGGGAGAAAAUAAAUCAGCAUUUUCUUACUUGUCGAAUGGCUAAGAAAAUGGUAUUUGAAAUAUAUGAACUAUGCGCAGGGAGCAUUUAGCCUCCCCACCUCCCAAAAAAACCCCUAAGGUAAAAUCCAUCCGAAUAACAGUAUGGAAGAUGCCAUUUGUCUUGGCUGUAUGUUUAGAAAGAGCCAGUUUGAAAUUGUGGGGCUUUUUUGUUUGUUUUUAACACUUUAUUUUUUUAAGUUUAUUUAUUUUGAGUGUGAGCAGGGAAGAAGGGCAGAGGGAAAGAGAGGAUCUUAAGCAGGCUCCACACUCAGCCCAGGGCCUGAUGUGGGGCUUGAUCUCAUGACCAUGGGAUCAUGACCUGAGCUGAAACCAAGAGUCAGACACUUAACCAACUGAGCCACCCAGGUGCCCUGAAAUUAUGGUUUUUCUAAUGAUGUUGAUUGAUAGGUCAAAUGUAAGAUAUCAAAAUAGUUUAUUUCCAACUACAUAACGAGAAUAGAUUUGGUUGUCUCCAGUGUGUAUAAUACAAUGUAUGUAGUUGAGUGUUUAGGAAUUCUAACAUUUAAACAUCGUUACCUAUAUUCAUCCUGCACAUACUAUCUAGUGUAUUCAGAAUUUAAAACAAACACACAUACACUGAAAAACAGCAUCUUGUAAGCUUUGAACAUGAAUUUCUCUCAUUUAGUUCUCAAAUCAAAACUUGAAAAGGUUUUCACAAAUUAUGUUUGUACAACCCAAAUGCUGGAAUUAAAGUUAUCCAAUGAUUGGUUGCAAAUAUAGAUUGUAUUUGAUGAGUUCUGUGUGUGUGUGUGUGUGUGUGUAUGGUGAAAUAUACAGUCCAUACACCAUUUUUAAGUGUGUAAUUCAGAGGCGUUACUUACAUUCAUAAUGUUGUACAACCAUCACAUUUCCAGGACGUUUCCAUCAUCCCAAACAAAUUCUGUACCUAUUAAAUAGUAACUCCCCAUUCUCUCCUCUCCCUGGACCCUGGUAAACUCUGUUUCACUUUUUGUCUCUAUGAACUUGACUAAGUUCCUCAUAUCGGUGGAAUCAUACAGUAUUUGUCUUUGUGUCUGGCUUAUUUCACUUAACAUGUUUUCAAGAUUCUCCUAUGUUGUAGCAGGUAUUACUGACUCCUUAAGGUUGACUAAAUACUCCAUUGCAUGUACAUACCACAUUUUGUUUAUCCAUUCCUUUCUACAUUUACUUGGGUUGUUUCUACCCUUUGGCUAUUGGAAACAAUGUUACUGUGAACAUGGAUGUACCAGUAACUGAGUGUCUGCUUUCAGUGGAUCAUAUGGUAACUCUGUGUUUCAUUUUCUGAGAAAUCAUCAAACUUUUUCAAAGCAACUACACCAUUUUGCAUGCCCACAAGCAAUGCACAAGGGUUCCAGUUCCUCCAUAUCCUCACCAACACUUAUUUUCUACAAACUUUCACACCGGUGGAUGAAAAUCCCGGUAUGUACAGGGUUAAGUAUUUGCUUCCCAAUCCUCCUUUGCCUCCCCAUCUCCCCAGGCCCCCCGCUUUUUGGCAGUGCUUUUCCUUCAGUGAAAACACAGAUAAUGUUGUGGUUUUUGACAAGCACAAGAAUUCAAUAAAUACUCAUAUGCUCCUUUACUGGAGGAAUCCGCAUUACCUUUUUGGGAGGUGAAUAGAGCUGUUUUAAGUGUCUGCAUUAGAAAUGAAGUUCAAAAUGUAAGUGUGACUCCACUUGAACUCUGUAAAUUAGCAGAAAAAGCACGUGUUAAAAACUGGCUGGGACACUUAAGUAAGGCGGUUAAACCCUAGAAAUAUAGUAUACUGUACUGUACUCCAUGAAUUAAAAAGGGCGUUAGCAUUAGAACCACAAGUUCACCCACUAUUUUUAAUCCAAAUGUUCUUUUCAAGGUUGCACACCCUUCCACAUAGGUGGAAUGAGUCAGUACCUGGCAAGGCUUAAUCGGGUCUCGCUUUCCUACCACGGGGUCCUUCUGCCAAGUGGCAGCAGAGCGUCUCUGCCAGCCCAUCUCCGCUCCUGCGGAGGAGAAGGCAGGUAAAGGUCCAGCCCGAGAACCCAAUGCCCGGGCCGCGCCUCACCUGGGCCUCGGGCUCCAGGGUGGGAGGAGACGCAGCUCCCAGCCUGCGCCUCGUCAAGGUCCCUGGCCGUACCCACGACACCAGACAGCCCCCCACUCAGCCUCGACCCGGCAAAAGGCUCCAAGGGUCGGAGGAGCCAGACCAAUUGACAAAGCACCGCCGAAAACCGAGACUCUCGCGAGACACAAGACUACUGGGAGGUUCGUCGUGCCAAUCAGCGGAUGGGGGCGGUCCCAGAGCGCGUUCAAUUGGCUAACCAUGGGAAAGCUCGCGUUCCAUUGGCAUCUUUUCUGGCCCCAACUCCACCCCUCGACCGGAAUGCCCGCCCCCUUCAAUGGCCCCACCUCUGAGCUGAGUGGGUAGGGAGGAGGGGAAACGCCUACAGUAGCGGUGGGUUCCAGGUGCUGGAGCUCAGGCGCCCGAAUGGUCCUAACCCUUUACCUGGGGCACCAUAGGAACAGGCCACGCUCAGGUUCUGACAUGUUCCGUGGUAUUCCUUACCUCGGCCAUUUACUCUGUAUUCCACACUAUCCGGUCUUAGGCAGGGAGGUGAUUUUACCUGUGCUUGAAAGAAGGCAAGGUUGCAUGGACUAAUUAAGAUGUUUCCCUUAAAGCUUUCUAAUCCGAAUACCUUAUAUCUUGCUCUGCAUGGUAUGCAAGGAGCAUUGAUUUGUUUGUUUGAUUUGGAACAAUAAUUAAACCCAUUGUGCCUUCCCAUUAACUCAUCAGAAGAGCCCCAGUGAAGUAGGUGCUAUUACUGUCCUUGUCAGCCCUAUUGCCCUACUUUAAUUCACGCCUUCAUAAUUGCUUGCCUGGAUUACUUCUACAAACAGCCCCUUAGCUCCUCUCCUUGCUAUCUACAAAGCCGAGGAUUAAACUUUCUUUUUUUUAAUUUUUUUUUUUUUAACGUUUAUUUAUUUUUGAGACAGAGAGAGACAGCAUGAACGGGGGAGGGUCAGAGAGAGGGAGACACAGAAUCCGAAACAGGCUCCAGGCUCUGAGCUGUCAGCACAGAGCCCGACGCGGGGCUCGAACUCACAGACCGCAAGAUCAUGACCUGAGCCGAAGUCAGCUGCUUAACCGACUGAGCCACCCAGGCGCCCCUAAACUUUCUAAUGCAAAUCUAAUCAUGUCUCAAAUCCUUCUCAGGUCUCUCAAAUGUCAAUCCUUCUGUGGCCCUGUGUUGUCCACAGGUUCUGGCAGAAGCUGCUUUUUAUCAAAAUAUGACAUAUCUAUGGUAAGUACACAAGUCAUAAAUGUGCAGCCUGCUAAAAUUUCACAAAUAGAUCACACUAGCAGCCAGCUCAAGAAACAACGUAACCAGCAUCCCAGAAGUGUUUCUAAUCACUAACCACUUCCUUCCCUGCUCAGAGUUAUCCACUAUCCUUAGAAUUGUUCAAGUGGUCAGUAGAGUAGCAUCCUUGUGUUUGUACAUUAUACAAAGGGGUCCAUUACAGCAUGUAAUCUUUUAUGUCUAGUUUCUUUAACUCACUUUUAUGUUCAUCAGGUUCAUCCAUACGUUAACUACAUUUAUAGUUUGUUCAUGAGGAUGCUGUAUUGCAUUUCACUGUAUGAAUACCCCACAAUUUGCCCAAUCAAUUGUUGAUAGACAUUGGAAUAGUGUAUAUUUUGGCGCUAUUAAAAAUAUUGCUGCUAUGGACAUUGUAAUAGAAAUCUUUUGAUGAACAUGAUGAAUGCAUUACUCUUGGAUAUAUACCUAGAAAUGGAAAUGUUGGGCCAUAGGUUGUGCCGUGUUCAAAUUUAGAUAUUUUUAAACUUUUCCAAAGUACACCAAUUACAUUCCUAUCAGCAAAAUAUGACAGUUCCAUCUUUUCCACAUUCUCAUCAACACUUGGUAUUUUUCAUCUUUUUUCAUUUUGGCAAUUUUGGUGGAUGAUAAUCAUGUCUCAUGCGAGUUUAAUGUGCAUCUCCCUGAUGAUUAAGGAGGUUGAGCACCUUUACAUAUGUUUAUUAGUUGUUUAUAAUUUUAUGAAGUGUCUGUUAAAAUUUUACUCAUUUUUGUCAGCUGAGUGUCUUUUUUAUUUGUAUUUUUCCUAACGUUUGCUUACAAAAAAUUUCAAAUACUUAGCAAAGUUUAAAGAAUUUUACAGUGAACAUACAUAAAUCUGCCAUAUAGAUUCUAUGAAUAUGCUUUAUUACAUUUUUUAUGAAACAUGCUUUAUUACAUUUCUAUCCUUUAUCCAUCUGAAUGUUGUUGCAUUUCAAAGUAAAUUGCAGAUACCAAUACAUGUCCUCUAAAUACUUUAGCCUGUAUAUCACUUAGGUGAAAUUAAAUUCACAAAUCUUUAUUGUAUAUUUGCUGAGUUUUGAGCAAGUGAGUCUUGAGUUCUAUGCCUCCUCCCAGUCAAUCUUCAUUUCCACUUUCCUGGGAACAACUUCCAUUCUGAUUUAUUCUCCACUAUAUAGCUUUAUGUGUUUCAAAAUUUCAUAAUCCUGGAAUUGAACAGUGUGUACUCCUGUGUAAGCCUGCUUUCACUCAGCAUACUGUAUUUCUCAUUCCAUGUUGUUGCAUACGUCAGUAAUCUAUUUAAUUGCUGAGUGGUAUUCCACUGGGCACAUAUACCACAGUCUGUUGAUAUGUAAGCGGUUUUCUUGUAUGCAUCCUUUGUCAGGUAUAUGUGUUGCAAAUCUCUUCUUCAAUUCUGGGUUUCUUUUCAUUCUUUUAGUAAAUGAAGUCUUUUGAGAAAUAAACAAGUUCUUCAUUGUAAUCUUCCAGUUUGUUGAUUUCUAUGUUGACUGUUUCUGAUGUUAAGAAGUCUUUGCUUACUCUAGGUCAUUAAGAUUUCUCCUGUGUUUUCUUCUAAAUAUUUUACUAUUUUAAUUUGCCCAUUAAGAACAGUAAACUAUUUGGAAUUGACUGUUGUAAGUGGUGGGAUUUAGAAGUAGAUCCAGAUGCUUUUUCUUCCAUGUGGAUAUCCAAUUAAUCCAACGUGUUAAUUUAAAAGAUCAUUUUCGGGGCGCCUGGGUGGCUCAGUCGGCUGGGCAUCCGACUUCGGCUCAGGUCAUGAUCUCGCGGUCCGUGAGUUCGAGCCCCGCGUCGGGCUCUGGGCUGACCGCUCAGAGCCUGGAGCCUGCUUCGGAUUCUGUGUCUCCCUCUCUCUCUGCCCCUCCCCCGUUCAUGCUCUGUCUCUCUCUGUCUCAAAAAUAAAUAAACGUUAAAAAAAAUUAAAAAAAAAAAAGAUCAUUUUCCCCACUUGCAGUGUCAUAAAUCAGGUAGCCAUGUGUAGACCUAUUUUGCACUGCUAUUGUGUUUGAUCCAUUUGCUUUGUCUAUCUUUGCAUCAAGACCACCCAGUCUUCAUUACUAUUUGCUGUAUAAUGACCCUUUAUAGUACAUCACUGAACUGAAAUUUCGAUUUAAUUAAAUUUGAUCUAAAUAACCAUGAGGCUAGUGACCACCAAAUUGGACAGCACAGAUACAGAACACUUCCAUCCCCAUGGGAGGUCCUGUUGAUAGUACUGCUUUGGAAGACAUCUAGAGCCCAAUACCAGAUCCUUCGUAUCAGACAGGCGAUUUUGAGUUUAUUGCUGAACUGCUCUUCAAAAAUAUCUGUGUAUAAUCGCAUUUGAGAAAUUCAAAACACAUCUUCCCACAUGUAGGUAAGACACCCAGCUCUUUUGACCUUGCACUUUCAGCGAUGAAAAUAUGCUUUGGGAGACAUUUCCUAUGAUGAGACACCGUAAAAUAUGUAGCCCCAAAUCAUAUGAAAAGAUGCCUGCUGUAGUACCAUUACAUGUAGUUUACUAUCUGUUCUGGUCCAAGGUCACACUUAAUUCUCUUUUGGAGGUCUUUUCUGGGCCGUCACAGCUGUGUUUGAGAGAGUUUGCCCUUACACCUGCCAUCAGAAGGCUGAGUCAGAUCCGGCUCCUGUGUGUAAGGAAUUCCUCAAACCAUUUUGUCCUGUUUAUUCCACCAGUCUUGUGACAUAAAAUGAUGCACAUGUACUUAUUAUGUACUUCAGGUGUUACUUUUUACAGUAGAUGUAUUUAUUUCUCCCUACAAUGCUUAAAUUUGAAAACUUUCUUUUUUAAUGUCUUUUAUAGUACUGUGAUGGCUAUUUUAUUUUAUUUUUUUAAUGUUUAUUUAUUUAUUGAGAGAGAGAGAGAGAGAGAGAGAGAAUGUGUGCGUGAGCAGGGGAGGGACAGAGAGAGAGAGAGAGAGAGAGAGAGAAUCCCAGGCAGGCUCUGUGCUGACAGUUCAAUGCAGGGCUCGAACUCACGACCCAUGAGAUCAUGACCUGAGCUGAAAUCAAGAGUUGGACCCUGAACUGACUGAGCCACCCAGGUGCCUCCUGUGAUGGUUAUUUUAAUUUGUCUUCAAUUUCCAGACUUGAGUAUAGCACAGGGCUUUACUGGCAGUCUACAUUUCCACUGGGGCAACGAGUAUUUAUGGAGCACCUACUCUGCGAGGUGCCCUGAGAGAGGCCCUGGAGAGACACUACGAUGAAUAAUAGAUAAUAGUUACCACUGAGCAUCUAUGAGAGCUCUCACACUUGCAUUUGUUAUUUUUAAUGAUCAUAACAAUACUAUAAGGUAAAUACUGUUACCUCAUUUUUCAGGCGAUAAAGCUAAGGUUUUGGGAGGUCAAAUUUCUGCAGCCAGUAGGUGCUAGAGCUGAGAUUUAAGCUUUGAAUCCCUAACCUCUCUCCCACCUCUGUGAGACCCUUCAGACUUCAAAGGAGAUUUGUUUCCUCUCAAGGAACACCUUGUCUUGUAAAGGAGACAAACAUGAUAACCACAACCCACAGGAGAACAGACAUUACAAAAGGCAGGGGGAUGUACAUGUAGUCAACCUGUGGGAAAUGAGCCACAUUGCCCAGCAACUUGGUCUUGUGAAUGUGUCCUGAAAUCUCUUCUUCUUCCUGAACUCCUUCUAGAAUGAUCUGAGAAGUAACAUUUCCUCUCCCUGUCUUCAUCCUGCAGCCAAGCUAUUCUCUGACCCUACGUCUGAGGAAGAGGCACUGCUAACAAAUGGUCAGUGCCCUCUUUAGGAGUACAACACUCCAAUGAUCGCUCAGAACCAGAAUCUGUUAGCACCUCCAGAGCAAACCUCUGAGUCAAUGUGGAAAAAGGACCCGCAAGGAUGGGCCCUUAAAGGAGAUUCUGCCUCUGAACGUAGUGGCUGUGUCUCUAGUGCUAUCUUGGACCAUAAGGAUAAGGACCACAUCCUAGGUGUUAUGGGUUGAAUUCUGUCCAUCCCCUGCUCCCCAUAUUUAUAUGUUGAAGUCCCAACCUCCAGUAUCUUAGAAUGUGACCUUAUUUGGAAUGUGAUCUUACAGGGUCAUUGCAGAUGUAAAUUGGUUAAGAUGAGGUCGUACUGAAGUAUCAUCCUAAUCUAAUAUGACUGGUGUACUUAUAUAAAAGGGAAAUUUGGACACAGAGACAUACACACACAGGGAGAACACUAUAUGAACACGAAGAUGAAGGCAGAGGUGCCUCUACAAACCAAGGAACGCCACCGGAUCCACCGGAAGCUGUGGGAGAGGCCUAGAACAGAUUCGUCCUUAUAGUCCUCAGAAGAAACUGACCCUGUCAGCCCCUUCAUCCUGGGUGUCUGGCCACCAGAACUGUGAGACAAGAAAUUUCUGUUGUUUAAGCCACCCAGUUUGUGGUACUUUUUUAUGACAGCCCUAACAAAUAAAUACACUAGGGAUGGCAAAGAAAUGAGGUGGAAGGAAUCUGAGCCCCCGAGGCGCUUUAGGGAGCACAAUCCCCACCAGCCUCGGUGUCUAUAAUCAUCUGCCUUGUUUUAGGCACAUACUGGCUGUGUCUUAUCUGCAUUAAAGCCAAUACUAAUUGACAUUCAGGAUAAAGUCCAAACUCCUUAUCAUGACCUACCAGGCCCAUCAAGGUUUGGCCCCCUCCUUCUCUCCUGCCUUGCCCCUUCUGACCCCACACAUUCAGUCAUAUAGCACUACUGUCCUCCCAGAUCCCCCUCUUAACCUCUUUCCUCUGUGCGUGCUUCCUCCUCUCCUCGUAGUAGCUUUCUCACCCCUUUCUCUCUGCCUGUGUUCUUUCUUAUCCUUCUUGGCUUGGCCAUCUCUUUACUUAGGUUUCACAUCCUCUGGAAUUCCUUCCUGGACCUCCCUGGGGUCAGUUUCUGAUCUCAUGCUCCCAGUGCUUCCUGUUAUCACAAUGUAGAUCCGUUAUGUUGUAGACUGUGAACUACUUUUGGAGUUCGGUGCCUGGCCCAUCAUAAAUACUCAUUAAAUUUUGUUCAAUGGUGAAGGAUCACUAAGAGUUUUCCUCAUUCUAUCGAUGGGAUGAUGUGUUCCAAAUCUCUAAAAAACAAACUUAUGUAGAUUUUUUUUUUUUUUUUUUUUGAAGAGCAGACCAACAAUAAACUCAAGAUGGCUAUGAAAUGAAGCAUCUGGGAUUGGCCCUUUUUUUUUUUUUCCAUUUUAGUCAUGAGUAGCUUGAAACAUUUUUUUUUAAUUAUUUAAGUAUAGUUGACAUACAAUGUUGUAUUAGUUUGGGGUGCACAACAUAGUGGUUCAACAAUUCUAUACAUUCUACGGUGCUCACCGCGGCAAGUGUAUGUACCAUCUGUCACCACACAUUAUCACAAUAUUAUUGACUAUAUUCCCUAUGCUGUACUUUUCAUCUCUGUGACUUAUUUAUUUUAUAACUGAUAUUGGCUUUCAGAUGACUUGUAAAGCAGUGGGGUCUAUAGAACUUAUUGUGAGUUUGGAAAUGUACUGUCCAAUAUGGUAGCCACUAUCCACGUGGCCAAUAAAAUCAAAUUUCAUUCCAUUCAAGGUGCAGUUUCUCAAUAUGGUAGGUUGAAUAAUGACUUCCAAACAUAUCCACCUCCUAAUCUCCAGAACCUGUGAACUUUGUGUGGUAAAAGGGACUUUGCAGAUGUGGCUAAACUAAAAAUCUUGAGAUGGAGAAAUGAUCCUGGCUGAUCUGAGUGGACCCUAAAUGUAAUUACAGGUGUCUUUAUAAGAAGGAGACACAGAGCGACUGGACAGCCAAACAGAAGAAAAUAGCGCUCCAGCUGAGGCUAUGCUGCUGGCUUUGAAGAUGGAGGAAGCACUGCAGGGAAGGAAGCUUUGGAAGCUGGAAAAGGCAACGAAAUGGGUUUUUCCCUAGAGCCAACAAAAGACGUGUGCCCUGCAGACAGCUUAGUGUUAGCCCGUGAAACUGAUUUCAAACUGUAAGACAAUAAACAUGCAUUGUUUUAAGCUCUUGCGUGUGUGGUAUUUUCUUACAGCAGUUGUAGGAAAUUCAUACACACAGUGGCACUAGCCACAUUUCAGGCGCACGCUGCUGGACAGUGCAGUUCUAGAAUCCUCUGCUUGGUGAGGAAGUAUCUAUGAUAGAUCUAGACACUGCAUCUUUCAAAAUUUAGAAAUUCUAAAUAUUAGUGAUUUGCUACUUGUAUCCAACAUGGGUUUGGGAUGCGAUUCUUUUGCAUAGGAAAACCAAGCCAAGAAAGCUCACGUAUCUUCUGUUGAAGCACAUCAUAACUACUGUCAAUCAAAGCCUGUCUCUGAUAUUGUGAUCCGUUUCCUUCAGUCGAGGCCAUUUCUAAAUGGCCUCGUUUACCUCAUGAAAAUUGACAGCAAUCAGAGAUGCUUCCAUUCAAUUCAUCUUUCUCUUUGGAACACUAAAAGCAUUAUCAAGUCCGAUACAAAUGAUACCCCUCUUGAUAAACGUCUCACUUAAUAAAAAUGGUGGGUUUGAUGUCUCGGUUUUGUUUGGUCCAUGUGCAGUCCAGGCGGGAGCCUCUGAUCUUUGCUUCAAAAGGUCCCACACGAUAGGCCACCCAGUGCUGUGCUGCCGGUUUCAGCAUCAUGCCUCCACCUGUCUGCACGCGUGGGAAGGUUUUAUGACAGCCAACUGUUAAGAAAGUAAGGGGCAAACUUCUUUGAAAAUGGUGUGCGUGGAGGGGGGGGGGUGGGGAAGUACCACCAGACAAACUCUAUUAAGCCAAUUACUAAACCACCUUGAAUUAUACUCCUUAACAUUAACAGUCUGAACCUAGCUGGAAAAGGUGGCUUAUAUCCCACCACUGGCAACUCUUUUUGCUUGAAUUAUUUUAUUGUUGGAAAAUAUACAUAACACAAAAUUUUACCACUUUUUACCAUUUUCAGCGUAUCAUUCAGUGGCAUUAGGAACUUUCACAAUGUUGUCCAACCAUCAUUACUAUCUGCUCCCAGAAAUUUUUCAUCUUCCCCAGCUGAAACUCUGAACCCGUUAAAGAAUAACUCCCCAUCCACUCUCCUCCCAGCCCCUGGUAAUCUCUGUUCUACUUUCCAUCUCUAUGAAUCUAUUCUAGGAACUUCAUACAAGUGGAAUCCUACGGUACUUGUCCUCUGACUUAUUUCACUCAGCAUGAUGUCUUCCGGGUCCAUACAUGCGGUAGUAUCUAGCAGACUUUUAUUCCUUUUUAAUGUUGAAUAAUCUCCUGCAGGAUGUACACACCACAUUUUCUUCAUCCAUUCACAUCCAUCAGUGGACACUGGGUUGUUUCCAUCUUCUCACUAUUGUGAAUAACACUGCUAUGAAAAUUGCUGUACACACUGGUGUGUUUUAGUAGGAGCCUACAAAACCCCAAUAACCAGAAAUUGCACAGUGGGAGAAACAGGUUUAAAGUCUCCCCUAAAUUCGUGGUUAUAAACUUGGCCACCCAUUAGAAGCACCUGGGAUGUUUUAAAAAAUUCCCCAUUCUCAGUCGGUUGUGCAUCCGACUUCGGCUCAGGUCAUGAUCUCGCAGUUUGUGAGUUUGAGCCCCGCGUCGGGCUCUGUGCGGACAGCUCGGAGCCUGGAGCCCGCUUCGGAUUCUGUGUCUCCCUCUCUCUCUGCCCCUCCCCUGCUUGUGCUCUGUCUCUCUCUGUCUCUCAAAAAUGAAUAAAUGUAAAAAAAAAAAUUAAAAAACAAAAUUCCCAAUGCCCAUACUGCACUCCAGACUGAUAUCAGAUUGCCUGGAAAUGGGACCCAGGAUCAGUAUCUUGUGUAAAUCUUACCAGUUGAUACUAAUGUGCAGCCAAGCUUGAGAACCAGUGCCCUGAACAGUAUAUUGGUAAACAUAGCUUCACCUCAAGCUCGUUUCCCUUCCCUAUAAUCUCUAAAUCAUACUUAGGCUUUCCUAGACCUUCAAAUCCAAUUUAGCUGAAUUAACUUCAUUUUUGUAUUUUCAAGAUCUGCUAAGCCAAAGCAUUUCACUUUGUAAUUUAAGUGUGAAGGGCGCCUGGCUGGCUCAGUCAGUAGAGCAUGCAACUCUUGAUCUCAGGGUUAUGAGUUCAACCCCCACGUUGGGCGUGGAGCCUACUUUCAAUUAAUAAUUAAUUCAUUAAUUAACAAUAUAAUUUAAGUCUGAAUGGGAGGGAAAUCUCAGAUCUACCUAUCAUUAUUAAAGGAAUGUUUGCUCCUAUCGGAGACAAGAUGAAUAUAUUCAAAUAUGUUUUAAAAACACUUACGCAAUUUGAUCCAAUAAUGAAACCCUAGACACAUCCUCUUUAACUUCAGGACUCAAGGUGUAUUCCCACUGACACAAUGAGUCAAUAUUGCUUUGGAAAUUCCGUGUUAAUAUAAUGAAACAUGAAAAGAGAAAAGCACCGUUAUUCAUAUGUGAUGUAGGUGAUAUUCCUAGAAAAUCCAAAGGAAUCAGCUGGAAAAUAUCCUGGAGAUAUAAAAAUAGGUAAAUGGCAAUAAAAAAAAGAUAAAAGUCAAUAGGAUCCUUGUAUGACCAGUAAGAGACCAAUAAGAGAUCUAAUCUAUAACAGUCACAAAAAUAUAAAAUACUUCAAACAACAAAAGAUGUAGUAUAUAUUCGUGUAGUUAUAAACCAUAUUGGGGAGUGCCUCAGAGAUUGGCCUGUAAACCAGGCUGCCACCCUUAGUGGCUGUGGAAACUGGGAAUUUAACCUCUCUGUGAUUUAGUUUAUCUAUCUGUAACAUUGAGAUAACAAUAGUGCCUCCCUCACAGAGCUGGGAAAAUUACAAGUUGAAAAUGUAGAGUGCUUAAAACAGUCCCUGCUACAUACUAAGUAUCCUUUCAGUGUUAGCUUUUAACUUUAUUACUGGGAGUCUUUUGAAAAAGGAAUUGAAUAGAUGGAGACCUGUAACUUUUUUUUUUUUUUUUGAGAGACAGCGAGAGCCUGAACAGGAGCACAAGCAGGGGAGGGGCAGAGAGAAAGGGAGAGGGAGAAUCCCAAGCAGGCAGCGUGCUGUCAGCACAGAGCUUGAGGGAGGCAGAAUUGUUCCCAUGAGCCAUGAGAUCAUGACCUGAGUGGAGAUCAAGUCCGAUGCUUAACCAGCUGAGCCGCCAGGUGCUCCGCACAGCAUAUUCUUAGAGUGAGUUUACAGGAAUAAAGGAUGGAGGGAGACAGAAAAUAAAUAAACAUCGGAUGACCGGUAUGUAAGAAAUAGGUUCUGAAACUUGAUGCUAAAUAUUUUUAUGUCUGUUUUCCCUCUUGAAUUUAUCACUGCAUAAUGUGUAUAAAUUAUGCAAUUUUUAUUUUCCUGCAAGCCCAAUUGAAUAUAUAGAGAAUGCUAAAUAUAAAGAGAAAAUUUAUUUUGUUUAUUUUUUUAUUUUUUUAAAAAUUUAUUUUUUUUUAUUAAAUUUUUUUAACGUUUAUUUAUUUUUGAGACAGAGAGAGACAGAGCAUGAAUGGGGGAGGGUCAGAGAGAGAGGGAGACACAGAAUCUGAAACAGGUUCCAGGCUGUGAGCUGUCAGCACAGAGCCUGAUGUGGGGCUCGAACUCACAGACCGCGAGAUCAUGACCUGAGCCGAAGUCGGCCGCCCAACCGACUGAGCCACCCAGGUGCCCUGAAAAUUUAUUUUUUAAUUCACAUGGAUUAGAAUAUAAAAGAAUGCCCAGAGGAGUGGAGGGCUAUUAUCAGCUUUUACAACCUAUUAUGGAGCCAUUUCAGAAUAGCAGUGGUAUAGCAGAAGUCUGCUUCAGUGAAAAAGAAUCCAGAAAGAGAUGCAGCUCCAAUUUAAACUUUUUUAAAGUUUAUUUAUUUAUUUAUUUAUUUACUUAUUUAUUUUUGUAAUAUUAUUUUUAAUGUUUAUUUACUUUUGAGAGAGAGAGAGAGAGAGCAAAUGGAGGAGGGGCAGAGAGAGAAGGAGACCCAGAAUCCGAAGCAGGUUCAAGGCUCUGAGCGCUCAGCACAGAGCCCGACGCUGCGCUCGAACCCAUGGACCACGAGAUCAUGACCUGAGCUGAAGUCGGACGCUUAAUGGACUGAGCCACCCAGGUGCCCCAUCACAGCUCCAAUUUAAGAGAGAAACAGAAAACCUGGUUGUAUAAGAUUUUUCAAAAUCACAAAGGUAAGGAAAACUAAUGAAUAUAUUUUGAUAACUGAUUCAAAAUUUGAAAACAAAUAGCCUAUAGGUAAGAAAUUAAAUAUAAAAGCUUAAAUUUAUGGAGAAUUCUUAGUAGACAAUUUUUGAAACACAUCUGUGGAAGAAAAGUCCAUUUCUCUCUGCUUUGAAGAACUCAACAGAAAGAGCUGGAAUAUCUGAAUAUCUAUUACAACUUUAAAUAUCUAUAAAAUGGAAAAAGAAAAGCACAAUAGCAGAACGGGAGGUUUGAAAAUCAAGUUUGACACAAAGUUAAUCCCUCACUUCUCUUUAUCUCCACUUCUACAAUCCUGGCUAUAGAAUCUCUUGCCUCGGCCUCUGAAAUAACCCUUCCUCCAGCUGGUGUCUCUGCUGCCUCCUUUCUCGGCAAGACAGGCUGGGUGAUCCUUAUAAUUUUUUUUUUUAUUUUGUUACUUUUUAAAUGUCUAUUUAUUUUUGAGACAGAGUGCAUGCACCAGUGGGGGAGAGGCGGAGAGAGAGAGGGAGACAGAGGAUCCAAAGCCGGCUCUGCGCCGACAGCAGAGAACCUGAUGCGGGGCUCGAACUCACAAACCCUGAGAUCAUGACCUGAGCUGAAGUCGGGUGCUCAACUGACUGGGCCACCCAGGUGCCCCCUGAGCGAUCCUUUUUAAAGGAUCAUUGCUUUUCUGAAGCACUUAAAUAAAAGUCACAACCCCUAGUCAGGCUGACACGGCACAUGACCACUCUACCUUCUCCUACCUAGUUUCAGUGGCUGAACUGUCCCACUUGAAUCUUUAUACCAGCUGUUUCCUCUGCCUGGAAUACUCUUCCUGGCCCCCAUCUCCAUAAGGCUGGAUCCUUUUUGUCCUUUGGACCUCAGCUUAAAUUUUUCUUUCUCCACAAAACCUUAUCUGAGACCCCAGCUUAAAGUAAUAAUGAAACUAACAUUUAUAAAUUAUUCUUCUAUAUGUCAGGCAUUUUCUGACACUUUGUGUGCAAAGCUCAUACUAUCUCACAAAAACCCAGUGAGAUAGUUUAUUAUUUGUCAAAAAGAGCGUUUAUUAUUACUUAUUUAUAAUAGCCUCUUACGCUUUUAUGCUUUCUUGCCAGAUGCCUUCGGAACAGGUGCUUUCUGACCCUUCAGAGCCUUUGGAGGCACUGCCUUCUGGCCUGCAGCGUUCAGGACAGGAACAUUCUAGGCUGGAAGCUUCUUGCCCACAGCAGCCAUCUUUUUUGCUGGCACCCUUGCAGCAGCUGCUGAAGCCGCACCCUUAGCAGCAACUGCUUUUUUGGGGAGAAGCUUUCAGGAGAGUUGCUUUUUGUAGCUUCCUAACUUCCAGCUUGGUUAUUCUGUUCCUCAUUUUCUUUGCCUUCAUGACUUUGUAAUGAUCAGAAUCUGUCAUCUUGGCUUUCCUUUCUCUGGUUUCAACUUUCUUGGCCCAUCUCGUGGCUGCCCCUGUUUGGUAUCUGCCUUCUGCCAGGCUUGUCAGACAUACUUCUGGCAGGCACUGUGAGGGAACUUGACGACACAGUCAGUGAGCGGCAUGCACUUGAAAGGCACAGCCUGUCUCCUCACCUGACACAAAGGUCCAUCAGCCAAAGCCCUGUUCUGGUCAAUACCAUCUACGAUCAUGAACAGCUUCCCAGCGUGAGGCCCGAGGGAGACGUGGGCCACCCUGGCCAAUCUCCAUGAAACGCUGUGCUGGCGGCAUUCGGCGAGAAGCUGGAUUUUAUUUUUAUUAUCGUUCCCAUCUUAUAGUAAGGAAACUGAAUCCCCAGCAAAGGUAUGCAAAGAUCCCGAUAUAACUGAAAGACUAGCUUGUCGCAGAUUUCACUUAAUUGCCCUGCUGGGUAUAAGGUAGCCUGCCAACUACUCAUAAUCACAUCACUCUGUUUUUAUUUUUACUUUUUUGAAGUGUGAUUUGUUUGUUUGUUUUUCUUCUCUUGAUCGAAUGUGAGCCUUAAUUCUGUUUUGUUCACUGCCGUGUGUUCUGGACCUAAAACAAUGGCUAGCACAUACUCAACUACCGUUUGUUGAAUGAAUGGAUGAGUAAAUAAGCAGAUAAUUAGGAAAUUGCUGAACUUGAUGAAGAAAACAUACAGGAUUACGAAAGGACAAAAGGAUCGUUUUAAAAUUCUCGUUCAAACGUUUACUCUGAAAAAAAAAAAAAAGCCCACCUUUUUACUCUGAAUUAUAGAUUCACAGAAAGUUGCAAAAAUAUUCCCCCACAUUCCCCCAGUAGCAAAACUAUAAUAUCAAAACCAGGAAAUUAACAUUGGUGGGCGCCUGGGUGGCUCAGUCUGUUGAGUGUCUGACUUCUGCUCAGGUCAUGAUCUCACAGCUCGUGUGUUGGAGCCCCAAGUCAGACUCUGUGCUGACAGCUCAGAGCCUGGAGCCUGCCUCAGGUUCUGUGUCUCCCUUUCUCUCUGCCUCUCCGCUUGCAUGCCUUGCAUGCCUCUCUCUGCCUUGUGGCUUGCAUGCUCACUCUCUUAAAAAUAAAUAUUAAAAAAAAUUUAGAAAAAAGAAAAUUAACAUUGGUAUAUGCAUGACAGUGUUCCAUGGUUUUGUGUGUUUUGUCAUGUGUAGAUUCAUGUAACCACCGUCACAAGCAAGACACGGAAUUAUGUCACCACAAGGAUCUUCUUCAAACAUAGAUUAUUUUGAAAAUAUAAUAAUAUUUGGAAAAAUUUGGAAAUUUUGGAAAAUUGAGAAAAUCCACAUUUUCCUUAACAAUUUUUUUUUAAUUUUUUCAUUGUUUAUUAUUUUUGAGGGAGAGAGAGACAGAGAGCAAGCAGGGAAGGGGCAGAGAGAGAGGGAGACACAGAAUCGGGAACAGGCUCCAGGCUCUGAGCACUCAGGACAGAGCCUGACGCGGGGCUCAAACUCAGACUGCAAGAUCAUUACCUGAGCUGUGGUCGGCCGCCCAACUGACUGAACCACCCAGGCGCCCCAACAAUUAUUUUUAUUAUACAUGUUUUCCCACAGUUGUUAUUACUUUGUGCUAUAAUUUUUUUUAAUGCUCAAUGGACAUCCUCUUAAUCUUUGAUUUUUGCAGAUCUCUUGGUUUGCAAGUUACAUUCUACAAAAUUGUUGCAAGGUAAUAAUGCAACUGUUCCUCCUGAAAUAUUCCUUUGCAGGAGUGCUGGUUAAGACUGCUACAUUUAAAUACUCUAUCUUCUAUAAAGUCACAAUGUAAUCAUCACAAUAAAAAGUAUUUGUUCCCCAGUCUUCCAUCUGUAUAACACAGAAUUGAGUGAGGAACUGACUUCAUUUCCUUUAAGUAAUUUAAGUGGUUUUCUUGAUCACUUUCAUUUUGUACUUAGAUUAUCUAGAUCCCAAUGAUGGAUCAACUUUUAAAGAGGUUAUCUAUAUACCUAUUCAUUUAUGAUAUAUAUAUGUACGUGUGUGUGUAUACCUGUUCAUAUAUGAUAAAAUAGUUCAUUGUUACCGGAAAAAAAAAUAGACUGAUGUGAAAAGCUGGGGUUCAGGAGUGAGUGGUCAAGAAAGAAUUCUUGAGACAUCUUUGGUGCAAAAAGUUGGUCUUCCUAAAGGGGACAGGACCUGUGGGCAGAAAGAGCUGCACUGGGGAUGUGAGGAGUGGCUGAUUACACACUUUUAAGUCAGGAGGGGGUUAGGGAUCGCAUAAGUCUCUAAGGAAUUUGGAAGCAAGGUUUCCAGGACCUUGAGGGGCUGGGUGUUGUUGGGAAAAGGUAAUUUAUUACUGUAGCAAAACCUUAGUCAUGAGACCCUUCAGAUGUGUAUCAGUGGGCCAUAUACAUAUACAUGUACAUGGAGGACGAUUGCUAACAUAUAUCUUGGUGGGGUGGGUAGAGUUAAAGGAAGUUUCUAAAGGGAUUUUUUUUUACAUGAUCCUGGAGGUUGGGCUAAUGUCAAGCUAAAGUUGCCUUUUUCCUCUAGCAAAGUAUUAACAUUGAGGCAGUUUAGCCCCUUGAGGAAGGUCACUCUGCCUGUCCCAAGUACUUAUCAAUGGGCUGCAAGUUAUAAGGAAGUUUAAUUUUUUCUGUAUUUCUUUUGCCUUUGUUCUCCACAUCACAGAGGAGUUGAAGAAAUCAGUAUGAACUAAUUUAUUUUACUAUGUCUAGACAUAGAAAUAUAGGUACCAACGCAUAUACAUGGAUUCAUGGACACAGAUUUUCUAGCUAUGUCCAUCAAGGGUGGGCACCCUAAUAGCAGUGGCAAUGAGCAUACCUUGUACCCUGCUUUUGGUUUCUCAAUAACAUUAUCAGGAAAAGGAACCAUGGUUCCUUGGAAUAUGAUGGGUCCUGAGGCUGGGCAGGAAAACCAUAAGGUGAGGCUGGAGCAUCUUGAUGCUCCAGGAAGGAAGUGUGAAACAUAAAACAAAACAAAGGACGGGAGUAUGUCAAAAGGAUGUGGGAGCCAACUUGAAAGAGCUCUCAGAGGACAUAGCUGGGACAAUUUGAGCAAUAGUAAAAAUGACAGUGCUGCAUUACAACCAAAGAACAAUGUAUAUAUCCAAGAGUCCAUAGUGAUAAAAAUGACUGAAAUAAAUCUUACUUGCAGUAGAAUUUCAAUUAAUAAACAGAGAAGUAGAAAACCACCACGUAAAGGCCACAAUGAUAAUUGCAGUGGCAUGAUCUACUGUUAAUGCUACAAUUUUGACAGUUCAACUUUAAAAAGAAACAGGGCAUUUGCACAAUACUUCGAUUUUGAUGUUUUCAAUUCAGGCUACCAAAACUUCUAAAAUGCUAUCAAUUUGCAAACAAAACACUUAAGAACAAGGUCUUUUGGAGAGCCACCUUAGUCCUAUUUGUAGAUUUAAGACAUUGAAAUCAUUCACCACUGUAACAAUCAUUUGGAGGAUUAGUGUUAAUACUAAAAGAAUUGAUUACAAUGGCUCUUGAUUUGUGGCAUCUUUGAGUCUCAGUAAAUGUUGAUAAAUAAUUCAGUGAAUUGCUAAAACAUCUGGUGAGCCUUCUGAGUUGGCUAAUAAAUAAUGAACUCUUUUCCCAACCAAUGUAUUGUGUUCGGCUGAAUAAUGGAUAUUUUCCCUGUAAGUUUCACAUAUCAAAAAUGUCUUUGGGUCCAUCAUUAGUAAACUUGAAACUAUUUUCUAGAACUGUCCAUCCCCUACAAACUUUAAAUAUGGAAGCAGGAAAGCCUAUCUUCUAACCCAAUAAUGUGGGGCUUAACAUAUUUCAGAACCAUUCAUGCUAUUUGAUAAGACUAUCUUUCCAACAGACAUUUUCUAUCAUGCCAAUGACCGCACUCUCCUUUCACUUAGUCAUUGGCAUUGUGGAAUACGCGUUUAAUAAAUACGUUUGUAUGUACGUAUGAGGUUUCGGAUGUACCUGACUACUUGAAGGGAACAAAGCGAGCCAGAACAAGAACUCCAACUUUUAUAAUCAACUUUAUUCAAAAGUUUUCAAAUUUACACCUGACAAAAGUCAAUGCAAAAGUUCAAAUCUGCCAGAGGCUCAUAUUGGCUACAGGUGAACCCAAUCUUACAUUUAGUUAAGCAAUGCCCGUGGUCAACUGUGAGGGCUUUGCAUGCAUUCUUUCACGUGAUUCCACAAAUACACCUGUCUUUGUGAAGCUUACAUUCUGGCAGGGAGCAGACAGCAGGCACACAAGCAAACAAAUACUCUAGCUUUGUCUUAAACCUCUUAAACACUGACUAUGAACACUGAAUCCAAGGGCCAGUGGCUAUCAACCUUCUAUUAUGAAAUUAGUAACAGACUCAUUUUUAUGGCCAAAAAAGGGAAGUAAGCAGUACUGGCCCUACCCACCCUUACUGUUUAAUUCCAUUUUACAGAAGAAAAUUGAGGUGACUAUGAAUCUAGAUUUCUUUUCCUCAUAUCUUCCCUUGACGGCUUAACACUUGUGCCCCUCUAACACAGCACCCCGCAUCCGUCAUCUGCCUUAUGAUCCACACACCACACCGGAUGCUGAGCCCUGCAUGCUCAUCUUCCAGCGGCUUCUCUCGUUUCAAUGCCAAGAGUUCAGCCACAUUUUGCUUAACACACACAGGGAAGGAACUGUUAUUACACAGCUCUGUCCCACUGGACUAGGCUGUUUCUUCAAUCUUUUGCCAACACUACUAUGAGCAAUAAACCCACUUCUAAGAUGUACCCAGAAUUACUGGGUUUAUGUUGCAUAACUUGUAAGAAUUAUUUUCUAUGAAAAAGUUGUCAAUUUGCUAAAAUGUUCAUCAGUUUGUUUAUAUUCAACUUUUUUUUUUAUUUUUUAUUUU
RNAcentral lists this long non-coding RNA (24683 nucleotides) under Lynx pardinus (Iberian lynx). Lineage: Eukaryota; Metazoa; Chordata; Mammalia; Carnivora; Felidae. The record is from RNAcentral.